UAUUAAUUAACGGUUUUUUAAGUUUGUUGUUAUUAGAACGAAGAUAAGAAUAAAACUGUAUCAACACAUUUUUCUAAAAAGUUUUUGUACUCUCACAUCGAAGAAAACAGGGGGUGUAUGUAGACUUUUGUCCGCCACUGUAUAUCUCACUGACCAGUUGAGCAAUCUUACUGCAAAUUAUAGAAAAUAAAAGUGAAUGAAAUUUCCUAAAAAUAUUGUCUAUUCCAUUUUUCCAUAGGCCUUAUAAUUUCUGAGAAAUUGAUUAAUCACUUCGUGUUUUUAAAUUUUUUUAUGAAAAAAUUAAAAAAAAAAAAAUAAACUUUGGCAAGGAAAAAAUUUUAAAACAAAAGAUAUUUUUUAAAUUUUUUUUUAUUUUAUAUAAAGUCCUGUUUCUUUAUAAAAAAACUAAGCUACCAACGAAGAAAAUCCAUAAAUAAAUAGGAAAGUUGCCCAUGAUAAAAUAAAUGUAUCCAAGUCGCGCAAAGUCAAUGUAUACAUACAUAUACAUAUAUAUGCGUAUGUAGUGUGUAGUGUGUAAAGUAGGGGUGCGAUUGUUUUCGAAUAUCAUUAGAAUAAACUAAUAACGCUAUUCGUUUAAAAAAAAUCAAAUAAUACUUUUAGAACAGUAAUACUCAAAUACUGUUGUAGUAGGUUGUUUGCAUCGAAAGCAAAAGGUGUCAGGUUCGAAACCCUUGUAGUCAUGUUAAUUUGCUUAACAUGUGUGUAGGUAUACAGGCAGAUUUUCGAAGGAUAAUUAGUUGCGGAAAAUUCCUAAUGCAAAUAAAUUUAAUUCAAACAUGCAUACCUACAUGCACACACACAUAUCUUGGUAAAUUCGUUAAUUUUUUUAAGGCCAACAUCAACAGCAGGUAGUAUUUUCUUUUCCCGGCUCGUUAAUAUGAAGGAACUUUUUGUGUUCCUUGUGUCGAAUAAUAUAGGUUCAAUGGGAAUCAGGAUCAACAAAGCGAUACAUGAAAUUUAAUGUACCAAUGAUGUGGCGAGAACCUACAUGCCACUCAGAAGAUUGUUAUAUUUGUAUGACAAAAGUACUUGGCUUUGGAAAAUCAAGAAAAGUGAUUUAUGCUAACGUACCUACCGUUUCAUUGCCAGUUCCACAUUCAGCUGAAGUUGCGUAUCCAGUUUCGUUGUCAACAGCAGUAUCUGAAAGAUCAUCUGAAUAUGGGAAAUCAAGUUGUAAUGAUUUUUUAAUGGAAAACGAGAGAAACGUUCUAUCACAAGUGCAACUAAAUGAUUAGAUUAGAGAUUUGGAAUUAUCCAAGGAAAAAGCUGAGCUACAUGCCUCUCGUAUGCAACAAUUUCAAUUCAUGUCACCCCAUGUUAAGGUGACAUAUUAUAGAAAUCGUCAUGAACCAUUUGCCAAACACUAUACGAAGGAAGACAAUGUAUGCUAUUGCAAAGACAUUCCAGGAUUAUUCAAAGAGUUUGGUCAACCAUAUGAUUCCGAGGAGUGGCGAUUGUUCAUAGACAGCAAUAAACUGAGCUUGAAAGCCGUAUUACUGCGUAAUGGCAACAAAAAGCCCUCGAUCCCGAUCGCGCAUGCAGUAAACACGAAGGAAACAUACGAGGUAAUGGAGAAAUUGUUAAAAUUCAUCAAAUAUGAAGAGCAUGAUUGGAAAAUAUGUGCCGAUCUUAAAGUCGUUGGAAUGUUAUGCGGUCUACAAAGUGGCUACACAAAACACUGCUGCUUUCUCUGCAAAUGGGAUAGCCGAGCUCGUAAAGACCAUUAUUGCAUUAAGAAUUGGCCGGAAAGAGUUGAAUUUACAAUUGGUGUAGAUAAUAUCAAAUACGUCUCACUUGUAAAGAAGGAAAAAAUCAUUCUUCCGCCAUUGCACAUCAAGCUCGGCCUCAUUAAAAAUUUUGUUAAGGCGUUGGACAAAGAAAGCAAAGCAUUCAAUUAUUUGCAAAAUUUUUUCCCAAAUAUUUCCCAGGCCAAGAUAAAAGAAGGUAUAUUUGUUGGACCCCAAUAAAUAAUGAGCAAUUCAAAGGACUAUUGUCACCAGUUGAGGCUGCAGCGUGGGAUUCCUUCGAAAUGAUCGUUUCUUCUUUUCUCGGUAAACACAAAAAUCCAAACUACGAGAAGAUAGUGGCGACUUAAUCAAAAAUUAUGCAGAAAUGGGCGUAAAUAUGUCUUUAAAAAUUCAUUUUCUGCAUUCAGAUUUAAGUUUUUUUCCGGCAAAUCUCGGAGACGAAAGUGACGAGCAUGGCGAAAGGUUUCACCAGCAAAUGAAAUUAAUUGAGAAUCGAUACCAAGGUUUCUGGGACGUCGGUGUGAUGGGUGACUACUGUUGGUUUCUCAUAAGAGAAACCGAUCCUAAACUAAAUAAACGACAAAACAAAACACAUAAUCAUUUCGACUAUAAUGUAAGAACAUCAACUUAAGACAAAAAUAACACAUUGUUUUAAUAUAUAUUACUAAUAUAUAAAUAAAUGAGUUUAUAAAAACUAAAAACGACAUGAAAAUUGACUUUUUACUUAACAGAAACAGCGCAUAACUAGAUAUCCCA
Molecule: long non-coding RNA, 2525 nt
Organism: Bactrocera dorsalis (oriental fruit fly)
Lineage: Eukaryota; Metazoa; Arthropoda; Insecta; Diptera; Tephritidae
Exons: 3
Source: RefSeq, a predicted model, not a curated record